AGAGUUUGAUCCUGGCUCAGGACGAACGCUGGCGGCGUGCUUAACACAUGCAAGUCGAACGGAAAGGCCCUUCGGGGUACUCGAGUGGCGAACGGGUGAGUAACACGUGGGUGAUCUGCCCUGCACUUUGGGAUAAGCCUGGGAAACUGGGUCUAAUACCGAAUAUGACCAUGCACUUCCUGGUGUGUGGUGGAAAGCUUUUGCGGUGUGGGAUGGGCCCGCGGCCUAUCAGCUCGUUGGUGGGGUAAUGGCCUACCAAGGCGACGACGGGUAGCCGGCCUGAGAGGGUGACCGGCCACACUGGGACUGAGAUACGGCCCAGACUCCUACGGGAGGCAGCAGUGGGGAAUAUUGCACAAUGGGCGCAAGCCUGAUGCAGCGACGCCGCGUGAGGGAUGACGGCCUUCGGGUUGUAAACCUCUUUCAGCACAGACGAAGCGCAAGUGACGGUAUGUGCAGAAGAAGGACCGGCCAACUACGUGCCAGCAGCCGCGGUAAUACGUAGGGUCCGAGCGUUGUCCGGAAUUACUGGGCGUAAAGAGCUCGUAGGUGGUUUGUCGCGUUGUUCGUGAAAACUCACAGCUUAACUGUGGGCGUGCGGGCGAUACGGGCAGACUUGAGUAUUGCAGGGGAGACUGGAAUUCCUGGUGUAGCGGUGGAAUGCGCAGAUAUCAGGAGGAACACCGGUGGCGAAGACGGGUCUCUGGGCAGUAACUGACGCUGAGGAGCGAAAGCGUGGGGAGCGAACAGGAUUAGAUACCCCGGUAGUCC
This 771-nucleotide ribosomal RNA is filed under the name uncultured bacterium. Its description in RNAcentral is "bacterial SSU rRNA". It matches the Rfam family "Bacterial small subunit ribosomal RNA", at positions 8 to 796 of the family's 1533-position model. The record is from RNAcentral.